RNAcentral lists this ribosomal RNA (489 nucleotides) under uncultured Bacillota bacterium. RNAcentral describes it as "bacterial SSU rRNA". It matches the Rfam family "Bacterial small subunit ribosomal RNA", at positions 355 to 836 of the family's 1533-position model. The record is from RNAcentral. Lineage: Bacteria; Bacillati; Bacillota.
UAGGGAAUCUUCCGCAAUGGGCGAAAGCCUGACGGAGCAACGCCGCGUGAGUGAUGAAGGUCUUCGGAUCGUAAAACUCUGUUAUUAGGGAAGAACAAAUGUGUAAGUAACUGUGCACGUCUUGACGGUACCUAAUCAGAAAGCCACGGCUAACUACGUGCCAGCAGCCGCGGUAAUACGUAGGUGGCAAGCGUUAUCCGGAAUUAUUGGGCGUAAAGCGCGCGUAGGCGGUUUCUUAAGUCUGAUGUGAAAGCCCACGGCUCAACCGUGGAGGGUCAUUGGAAACUGGGAAACUUGAGUGCAGAAGAGGAAAGUGGAAUUCCAUGUGUAGCGGUGAAAUGCGCAGAGAUAUGGAGGAACACCAGUGGCGAAGGCGACUUUCUGGUCUGUAACUGACGCUGAUGUGCGAAAGCGUGGGGAUCAAACAGGAUUAGAUACCCUGGUAGUCCACGCCGUAAACGAUGAGUGCUAAGUGUUAGGGGGUUUCCG